UCCCUGGUGGUCCAGUGGUUAAGGAUCUAUGCUUCCAAUACAGGGGGCAUGGGUUCGAUCCCUAGUCAGGGAA
Molecule: transfer RNA, 73 nt
Filed under: Capra hircus (goat)
Lineage: Eukaryota; Metazoa; Chordata; Mammalia; Artiodactyla; Bovidae
Also listed under: 1 other name
Rfam family: tRNA
About the family: Transfer RNA (tRNA) molecules are approximately 80 nucleotides in length.
Source: Rfam by way of RNAcentral